RNAcentral lists this transfer RNA (74 nucleotides) under Agrilus planipennis (emerald ash borer). It matches the Rfam family "tRNA". Rfam says of the family: Transfer RNA (tRNA) molecules are approximately 80 nucleotides in length. Their secondary structure includes four short double-helical elements and three loops (D, anti-codon, and T loops). Further hydrogen bonds mediate the characteristic L-shaped molecular structure. tRNAs have two regions of fundamental functional importance: the anti-codon, which is responsible for specific mRNA codon recognition, and the 3' end, to which the tRNAs corresponding amino acid is attached (by aminoacyl-tRNA synthetases). tRNAs cope with the degeneracy of the genetic code in two manners: having more than one tRNA (with a specific anti-codon) for a particular amino acid; and 'wobble' base-pairing, i.e. permitting non-standard base-pairing at the 3rd anti-codon position. Lineage: Eukaryota; Metazoa; Arthropoda; Insecta; Coleoptera; Buprestidae. The record is from Rfam by way of RNAcentral.
AAACCUAUAGCUUAGUUGGUCAGAGCAUUGGUGCGGAAAGCCAAAGAUCCCGGGUUCGAUUCCUGGCGGGGGUG